CGUGUAGGCGGCCAGGUAGGUCCGUUGUGAAAACUCGAGGCUCAACCUCGAGACGUCGAUGGAAACCAUCUGGCUAGAGUCCGGAAGAGGAGAGUGGAAUUCCUGGUGUAGCGGUGAAAUGCGCAGAUAUCAGGAAGAACACCUAUGGCGAAGGCAGCUCUCUGGGACGGUACUGACGCUGAGACGCGAAAGCGUGGGGAGCGAACA
This 207-nucleotide ribosomal RNA is filed under the name uncultured bacterium. Its description in RNAcentral is "partial 16S ribosomal RNA". It matches the Rfam family "Bacterial small subunit ribosomal RNA", at positions 568 to 774 of the family's 1533-position model. The record is from RNAcentral.